UUCUGCUCACUAAACCGAGACUAAUUAGGAAUCAGAAUUUCAAAACUCCUAGCCGAAGCGGCUUAAAAACUAGGUAUUUCGUGACUGAGUCGUCAAGUUUAAUAUAAUAUAUCUAACUUUGGUAAUUAUCUCCCAAAUGAUAUUUUAUAUUUUAGUAACUUGAUGACUCACCUUAGUACUCCACACAGUCUCCCACUCCCAACCACCUCCACCUUUAUUUCUUCAUCCUUUUCUUCGAGAUUAAGAGAGAAAAAGUGAGAGAAUUUCAAGUGCACACCUAUAUUUUCUUCAAGCUUCAAGCUAGGCCUUCUUCCAAACUUAAACCCCUCUCAAAAAUCUAAACUAAUUAAAGUGUUCUUCUUGAUAUUUUAUCUUCUCUUCAUGUUUUUGCUUCUUGAAGUUUUAGCCAUGAAGUGAACAUGAAAAAAUUUGAUGUUCUUGAUGUUCUUGCUUAGAAAAUCAUAUCUAGAAGGCUUGAGGAGCAAGAAACCAUUAAUUUCAGCUUGAAAAAGUGAUAACCCCACUAUCGAAUACUAAGACAAAUGAGUCAAAACAAGGGCGGUGAGGCAUGGCCAAAGAGGUGGCAAAGUUCUUGUUGGUGAGUCUCCCUUUGAUUGAGGAACGCAUUUGGAAUGAAGUGAUUGAUCAUUUCAUUACUAGGCUGUCCGCCUCCUUUUCGUCCUCUACAAGACUAGCCUACGAUCUUCCCAAUGACCUUGAAUUUCUUAUCCGUAAAGCAAUAAACCCAAUUAAAAAGGCAAUGGAAAUCAAGUAAAGUAGAAAAGUCAUCAGGCUAAGAGCCUAUUCUUGCAACAGGCAUGACAUAAUUGCAAAAUGAGUGUCUUCCUUACCUCACAUCCUAGUCUGCUCAUGGUCAUGGAAACCUCGUCUUUUUGGCAUAACUGCCUCUAGCAGCCCCUUCUCUAAGACCUUGGUCAAUUAUUUCCUUUUACUCAUAUUCGUGUCUAUGUAUUUGUUCCUAUCAUACAUUUUCGUAUGAUAGGUUUAUCAUUGUUGGCUAUGAAGUCUGCAUAAAAGUUGCCUUGGCAAAGACCGUGAACAGGGAUCACUGUGAGUUGUUUGAUCUGUACAGUCUUAAAACAUAACUCUUCACGGGUGAUCCUCAAUCUCAAAAUUUGUAAUCAGACUUAGAGCUUCUGCAAAAUCAGUUUCAAGAAUAUCAUCUUUUAUUUCAUAACCUUCAAUAGCAUUAAUCGUCUUUCUAUUGCCCAAAGUUUAAUAGCUAAACAAAAACUUUUGACAUGUGUCUACAAAAACAAAAUAACCAUCCGCCUUGGUCAUCUUUUGCAAUCCCUCCAAUCCCCAGGCUUCCC
Non-coding RNA from Arachis ipaensis, 1334 nucleotides. The record is from RefSeq and is a predicted model, not a curated record. NCBI's taxonomy places the organism in Eukaryota, Viridiplantae, Streptophyta, Magnoliopsida, Fabales, Fabaceae.